This 254-nucleotide ribosomal RNA is filed under the name Bacillus pumilus. RNAcentral's name for it is "partial 16S ribosomal RNA". It matches the Rfam family "Bacterial small subunit ribosomal RNA", at positions 1288 to 1533 of the family's 1533-position model. The record is from RNAcentral. Lineage: Bacteria; Bacillati; Bacillota; Bacilli; Caryophanales; Bacillaceae. RNAcentral also lists the same sequence under 2 other names.
UCAGUUCGGAUCGCAGUCUGCAACUCGACUGCGUGAAGCUGGAAUCGCUAGUAAUCGCGGAUCAGCAUGCCGCGGUGAAUACGUUCCCGGGCCUUGUACACACCGCCCGUCACACCACGAGAGUUUGCAACACCCGAAGUCGGUGAGGUAACCUUUAUGGAGCCAGCCGCCGAAGGUGGGGCAGAUGAUUGGGGUGAAGUCGUAACAAGGUAGCCGUAUCGGAAGGUGCGGCUGGAUCACCUCCUUUCUAAGGA